GGGGGGGGGGUGGAAGGACUGUUUUCUCUCUCUCUCCCUUGCCUUCCACUCGUGGUCCCAGAAGAGGAAAUGAAGGGAGCAAACUUCACUUGACAGAAAGAAGGAGGGAGGGACACAAGACUAACUUGCGUGAACUGCUAGGUAAGCAUAAGCUGUCUGCGUGUGUCUCGCAUUCUUGCAUGUUGCCGUGCGUUUGUCUUUGCACUCUGCCAGAUGGAGGAAAUCAGUACGUUUUUUGAAAGGUGUGAAUAUGAAUGCGCACAUUGUCUAGGCCACGGAUAGAACCGCCACCACCAGCAAUAGGAGACGUGUGAGAGACUGAACGCAUUCUUCCUCCUGGAACAGGUCCGAGGACCUGGUGUCCAUGGGACCCUGUUGUAGCACAAGCAGUUUUUGUUUGGCGCUGGAAUCGGCCUACCCUGUCCCCUAAGCCUGACUCCAUUUUGAUCACAGGUGAGGACAGACCGCCCUUUGCGGACACGGCGCUGUUCAGCAUCGUUGCCACUGGCUCGUGCGGUACUGGCCCACUGGUAUGUGUCUCUUCUUAUUCCCUUCUGCUUCCCUCUCCAUUCACUGUCCACCUUAUCACUUCACACAAGCCAAACAGCCGUUUGUGCCUCUCUCACACUAAUGGUUUUGAUGCGUAGACUUUACGACUUGAUGCUGAUAUAUUGUGUGAUCAGAUCCUCUUGGCCAUACAAAUGAAUAAAAGUCCGAUCUUCGCUCCCACACACCUCUGAAUCCCAGUGUCCUCACAUACAUUGAAGUAUUUUUUUUCCUUAUAAACAGCUACGGUUCCUUUGAAACUUUCAAGCAUGUAAUAAAACACAAAUAAUUCCAAUUGCGACAGCUGCAAAAUUGGCCUUUGUGCUGAAAAGUUGUGAGGCGUGAUGUAAAUGUUUACAUUUGAGUUAGCUCUGACUCUUGCCUUCUGUAGGAUCCCAAGUAAAUACAGUAUGCAUACAUGCAGACCGCAGAAUAGAUAGUCAGAGUUAUCAGAGUAAUGAAAAUGUCUGUUUGCUCUUGCAACAUUCUAUUUUCACUCAUAUUCCGCAAUGUUUCAAACAUCUCAAAUGGUUUUCCAACAGUCGUUUUCAUCAAAAUCAAAAUCCGUAUCAAAAUAUGAUCAAUAUAUUUCAAAAUAACUGUUACACUGUCAAGAUGCAGAUUUCAUGACAGUAUUUCUCAGUACUUGGUCUAUUGUUUGAUCAUAUCGGUUGAUAAAUGUCAGAGGGGAGUGGCAGAACCCUGUGUAUUUUGCUACAUUGAAUUGCAGCUUGUUGCAUUCAGAUAUUUUUGUAUUCUGGCACAAGAACCCUAAUGGAUAAUGGAUAUUUGGUGCAGUGCUCCUUUUUGAAUCUGCAUGGGCAAGCCAAUAGGGUUUUGAACGAUUUCACACAGACCAGAUUUUAUGAGUUGUUGUGUAAUCGCAAUAACUCGUAUAGUAAAAUCAACAUAUUUGAUUAAAAUCAACGUAUUUGAACAGAAU
Molecule: long non-coding RNA, 1489 nt
Organism: Clupea harengus (Atlantic herring)
Lineage: Eukaryota; Metazoa; Chordata; Actinopteri; Clupeiformes; Clupeidae
Exons: 3
Source: RefSeq, a predicted model, not a curated record